Molecule: long non-coding RNA, 1847 nt
Organism: Trichomycterus rosablanca
Lineage: Eukaryota; Metazoa; Chordata; Actinopteri; Siluriformes; Trichomycteridae
Exons: 5
Source: RefSeq, a predicted model, not a curated record
CCAGCAGAAUUACUCAAGAACUGACUACUCUGAGCUGACUGAAUAUGUGAUACUCACACCUUGUGAGUUUACUUUUCUGCACCAAGGCAGUGAAGGACCCUCCUCUCCAAGUCUUACAGAUACAUGGUUCAACCGGUAUUGGACAGCACUAGCGCAAGAAAUAUAGUAGAGCACUUCCAAGCCAGCAGGAAUGACUGUGAUCAAGGAGUAUGAAGAGACUGGGAGUUUGAAAGAUUCCACCAGGCGAUUAAUGGUGAACAUCAUUGUAGCCCACAUGCAUGAAAAGGAAGGGAGAGCUGUAAGUAAAGCAACAAAAGAGUUUCAUGCCCUUGGGAUUGUGUCACUCUUCCUAUCCUUAAAGGAUCCAUAUUCUAAAAAGGAAUAUGACAAUGCUCAAUCACAUGCAUCAAAGUACUCCACUGAGUGACUAGCCAGUAAAGGCCUAAAAGAUGAAAGAAUAUUGACAUGGCCCACUUCCUCACCUGACUUAAACCCUAUUGAGAACUUGUGGGCCCUUCUUAAACGGGAGAUUUACGGUGAAGGAAAACAAUACACCUCUCUGAACAGUGUCUGGGAGGCUGUGGUUGCUGCUGCACAAAAAGUUGAUCAUCAACAGAUCAGGAAACUGACAAACUCCAUGAAUAUAAGGCUUAUGGCUGUUAUUAAAAAGAAGGGUGACUAUAUUGAUCACUGUUAUUUUUUUUAAUGUCAGAAAUGUUUAUUUGUUAAUUUUAAGUUGUUUGUUUAUUAUUCUCACUUUAACAGAUAAAAAUAAACAAGUGAGAUGAGAAUUUUAGUUUUUUAUUUAGUUGCAUAAUAAUUCUGCACACUAAUAGUUGUCCAAUAAUUAUGCACGCAUAGCUAUUUUCCUAAGAAAGCCAAAACCUCACUUUUACUUUCUUAAAUAUUCAGGUUUGAGGUUUAUUAACAUUUUGAAUUGACUAAAAGCACAGUAGUUGUUCAAUAAUAAAAUUUAUCCUCAAAAAUACAACUUGCCUAAUAAUUGUGCACACAGUGUAAUUCGGUUAAUUCGCAUUAACGUUUUCACCCGAUGUUAGAAUGUGACCAUCGCGAUUGUUUACAUACUUUAUAUUUUUAUUAAAAUAUCAACAUGUCACGAGGCAGAAACUGACCAGACGCUCUCAGAAUAUAAAUCAGGGAACCCAGAGGAUAGACUAAAACAGUAGCCGGAAGACAACAAGGAUUAUACACGGUAACGGUUAGAUUCAGAAAUAAGAAGCGCAAACACAAUCGGCAAAACGAGACACAAACAGAAUCAUUUAAUUAAGAUUCACUGAAUCAAACACCGCUGAACUGAAUCAAAACUCCAGAGCCGAUGAGUGUGUUCAGGAUUGGCUGACCGGGACAUGUGACAUUACAAUUUCAACAAUUUACUGUUUUAGAUCCUAAUAUUUAUAUUGAUAUAAUUAAUGUAAUGGAUAAAAAAUAAUAAUAAAUAUUAGGAACCUUCUUACCCAACAUUUUAGUAUAUGAACUAUCUCUCACAUACCUGGAGACAUUACAAAAAGGCAGUUAAUUUGGACUUUAUAGUAUAAAUUCAUAAUUAAUAAUAAAAUAAGAGAUGUACUUUUUAAAAUACUUUAUAAACGCUAUCCAGUCAAUGCUAGAUUGAGCAAUUUUUUUAAUAUUUCUGGUAGAUGUACCUUCUGUAAUUGCUUUUACCCAUUAAUCUUUUUUUUUGUUUUGUUUUUGAAUGCGUCUAUACAUUUUUCUUUUGGGUCGAUGUGUUCUGGGAUUUGGGAAAAAAAAUUGGUAUCUGAAAAUAUAUUUUAAAAACAAUUAUUUUGUAUAUUGUUAAAUUUAGUGUAAAAACAAAAUUGACAUGU